Molecule: long non-coding RNA, 444 nt
Filed under: Ananas comosus (pineapple)
Lineage: Eukaryota; Viridiplantae; Streptophyta; Magnoliopsida; Poales; Bromeliaceae
Description: long non-coding RNA (ACOM_LNC044069)
Source: RNAcentral
ACCGCCCGAGGCUUGAACCAUUGCCGUGGCGUUUGUGCGACGAUUUCGCCGCCAGGAUGGUUAAGCCAUUUGAGGAUCAGACCGCCAGAGCAGACUGAAUCCAUGCUGGGUAAGUACGAUGCGGGUGCCUCCAGGUGACUGAGUCUGACAUGAUCGUUGUUGGGUGUGGUGCGACCUGUUCGCCGCCAGACGGUAUGUCAUGUCUCGAUUCACGCUGGGUAAGUGCAACGCGAUCGCCACCAGAUGGUCAAGUCGUGCGACUUGAGCCGGGCUUAGCGUGUGCGACGACUUCGCCGCUAGGGGGCUGAGAUAGAGAGGGCGGUAGGCUGUUGAGCAGCCAGUGCGCGGGCUAUCCGCGGAUGAUUGACUCGAAGCCGAGUCGUGUGGUUAGCAUCGAUAGGGUAGAGGAACCCUUAUGAGCUAGAGAUAGAGGCUUGAGCUAAG